CGGAGGGAUCAUUACCAGAGUGCCCUAGGCUCUCCAACCCAUUGUGAACUUACCAAACGUUCCCUCGGCGGGCUCAGCGCGCGGCGGCCUCCGGGCCUCCGGGCGUCCGCCGGGGAAAACCAAACCCUGAUUUAAUCGUAUUUCUCUGAGGGGCGAAAGCCCGAAAACAAAAUGAAUCAAAACUUUCAACAACGGAUCUCUUGGCUCUGGCAUCGAUGAAGAACGCAGCGAAAUGCGAUAAGUAAUGUGAAUUGCAGAAUUCAGUGAAUCAUCGAAUCUUUGAACGCACAUUGCGCCCGCCGGCACUCCGGCGGGCAUGCCUGUCCGAGCGUCAUUUCAACCCUCAGGCCCACCCUUCCGGGGGAGCGGGCCUGGUGCUGGGGAUCGGCGGCCCUCGCGGCCCCCGUCCCUCAAAUUCAGUGGCGGUCGCGCCGCAGCCUCCCCUGCGUAGUAGCACAACCUCGCACCGGAGAGCGGAACGACCACGCCGUGAAACCCCCAAUUUUUCAAGGUUGACCUCGGAUCAGGUAGGAAUACCCGCUGAACUUAAGCAUAUCAAUAAGCGGAGGAA
Molecule: ribosomal RNA, 571 nt
Filed under: Sarocladium strictum
Lineage: Eukaryota; Fungi; Ascomycota; Sordariomycetes; Hypocreales; Sarocladiaceae
Description: eukaryotic LSU rRNA
Rfam family: 5.8S ribosomal RNA (bases 181-334)
Source: RNAcentral